UACAUAUCGAAAUGAACGGGUGUCUUUUUAAACAAGACUUAAUAGGGAAGUUGGUGAAAAUCCAACGCGGUCCCGCCACUGUAAAUGGGAGCAAGCUGCAACGGCCACUGUACAAAUGUAUGGGAAGGCGCAGCGAGCAUUGACCAUGAGCCAGGAGACCUGCCUGUCCAUUGCACCAACA
Molecule: non-coding RNA, 181 nt
Filed under: Mesobacillus selenatarsenatis
Lineage: Bacteria; Bacillati; Bacillota; Bacilli; Caryophanales; Bacillaceae
Also listed under: 1 other name
Source: RNAcentral